This 253-nucleotide ribosomal RNA is filed under the name uncultured bacterium. RNAcentral describes it as "partial 16S ribosomal RNA". It matches the Rfam family "Bacterial small subunit ribosomal RNA", at positions 524 to 776 of the family's 1533-position model. The record is from RNAcentral.
GACAGAGGGGGCAAGCGUUGCUCGGAAUUACUGGGCGUAAAGGGCGCGUAGGCGGGAUGGCAAGUCGGUCGUGAAAUCCCUCGGCUCAACCGAGGAACGUCGAUCGAUACUGCUGUUCUUGAGGAUUGCAGAGGAGACUGGAAUUCCCGGUGUAGCGGUGAAAUGUGUAGAGAUCGGGAGGAACACCGGUGGCGAAGGCGGGUCUCUGGACCUCUUCUGACGCUGAGGCGCGAAAGCCAGGGGAGCGAACGGG